Molecule: long non-coding RNA, 605 nt
Filed under: Ictidomys tridecemlineatus (thirteen-lined ground squirrel)
Lineage: Eukaryota; Metazoa; Chordata; Mammalia; Rodentia; Sciuridae
Description: lncRNA (ENSSTOG00000031178.1)
Source: RNAcentral
UCAGCGCGUUCUCCAGCGCUUGGGGGCGGGGUCGAUGACUCACCGGGCUGCGCCCCUUGCCCCCGCCCCUCCCGGCUGCGCGCACGUGAGCGAGCACUACGCUGGUUUCUAAAUUUAGUCCCGGCGGCUUCCCUGGGGUCGCCUGAGAAUACAGUAUUUGCUUUGUUGUUCUGACUUUUCCCACUUGGAGAGUUGUGAAAAGGAAACAUUUUAUCCACCAUCUUGUCUCUUCUCUUUCUUCACGGAGGUAAAAAUUCCAGUAUCUCUGACACUUCUAUGAAUAAGACUGGUUGGUAAUUCUGUGGAUAAAACUGGUUGGUAAAUGGGUUGUUUGCAUUUGAAACAGAAUCAAUUUCUGCACAAUGAUACCUCCCUGCCUAUCCUGAAAUUGAAGGGUGCACAAUGAAGAGAUUGUACUUACCCUUUCUUAGAAGUUAUUGAUGUAAAGGGAGGGAGAUCUUUAUCAUAAAGCUUUAGUAGCCAGAGCUCUCAGCAAAAUGAAAUUGAAACUACUCUCAAUUUUAUAAAAGGCUAAUGACAGCAAAGUAUGUUGUCAUUUUUUGACACAUACCUUGAGAUUUAGUUUUGAAAAUAUAUAGUAUGUU